This is a long non-coding RNA of Gordionus sp. m RMFG-2023, 294 nucleotides long. RefSeq lists it as uncharacterized. NCBI's taxonomy places the organism in Eukaryota, Metazoa, Nematomorpha, Gordioida, Chordodea, Parachordodidae. The transcript has 3 exons. The record is from RefSeq and is a predicted model, not a curated record.
CAAAUGAAAAUAAUGGUCAGAUAUUCUCCAAUGAUAGUAUAGCAAAUGUAUUAAAUGAGGAUCUUACACACUCAAACGUGGAUCCUAAUAUACAUCAAGAAAAUGAAUGUAUAAAUAAUAUCAUAAAAGAAAUUCAAUUACCUAAGAAAUUAAAUAAAAGCGGGAGACCAUUAGGAUUUACAAUAUUGGAUUCACAAAAAAGCAUACAAAUCCAAAGAAAAUCAUAUAGAUAAAAAGUUAAAAUUUCAACAAGACCUUAAUUCCCAAAACUUUGUUGACCCAAAAAUAGUUGAU